GACGAACGCUGGCGGCGUGCCUAACACAUGCAAGUCGAACGAAGUGUUGCGCUGAUUUGAUGGUAGCUUGCUACUGGAUUUUCUUGUAACACUUAGUGGCGGACGGGUGAGUAACGCGUGAGCAAUCUGCCUCAGACAGGGGGAUAACGCAUCGAAAGAUGUGCUAAUACCGCGUAAGACCACAGCACCGCAUGGUGCAGGGGUCAAAGGAGCAAUCCGGUGUGAGGUGGCCUCGCGUCUGAUUAGGUAGUUGGUGAGGUAACGGCCCACCAAGCCGACGAUCAGUAGCCGACCUGAGAGGGUGAUCGGCCACAUUGGAACUGAGAUACGGUCCAGACUCCUACGGGAGGCAGCAGUGGGGAAUAUUGGGCAAUGGGCGAAAGCCUGACCCAGCGACGCCGCGUGAGGGAAGAAGGUCUUCGGAUUGUAAACCUCUUUCAGCAGGGAAGAAGCAAGUGACGGUACCUGCAGAAGAAGUCACGG
RNAcentral lists this ribosomal RNA (483 nucleotides) under uncultured bacterium. RNAcentral's name for it is "bacterial SSU rRNA". It matches the Rfam family "Bacterial small subunit ribosomal RNA", at positions 28 to 496 of the family's 1533-position model. The record is from RNAcentral.